Molecule: ribosomal RNA, 518 nt
Filed under: uncultured bacterium
Lineage: Bacteria
Description: partial 16S ribosomal RNA
Rfam family: Bacterial small subunit ribosomal RNA
Source: RNAcentral
UGGGGAAUAUUGCACAAUGGGCGAAAGCCUGAUGCAGCAACGCCGCGUGAGGGACGACGGCCUUCGGGUUGUAAACCUCUUUUAGCAAGGAAGAAGCGAAAGUGACGGUACUUGCAGAAAAAGCGCCGGCUAACUACGUGCCAGCAGCCGCGGUAAUACGUAGGGCGCAAGCGUUAUCCGGAAUUAUUGGGCGUAAAGAGCUCGUAGGCGGUUUGUCGCGUCUGCUGUGAAAACCCGAGGCUCAACCUCGGGCCUGCAGUGGGUACGGGCAGACUAGAGUGCGGUAGGGGAGAUUGGAACUCCUGGUGUAGCGGUGGAAUGCGCAGAUAUCAGGAAGAACACCGAUGGCGAAGGCAGAUCUCUGGGCCCGUAACUGACGCUGAGGAGCGAAAGGGUGGGGAGCAAACAGGCUUAGAUACCCUGGUAGUCCACCCCGUAACGUUGGGAACUAGUUGUGGGGUCCAUUCCACGGAUUCCGUGACGCAGCUAACGCAUUAAGUUCCCCGCCUGGGGAGUAC